GCCGGCGUGGCUCAGAGGUAGAGCAGCUGAUUCGUAAUCAGCAGGUCGGGAGUUCGAUUCUCCCCGCCGGCUCCA
This 75-nucleotide transfer RNA is filed under the name bacterium. RNAcentral describes it as "tRNA-Thr". It matches the Rfam family "tRNA". From Rfam's summary of the family: Transfer RNA (tRNA) molecules are approximately 80 nucleotides in length. Their secondary structure includes four short double-helical elements and three loops (D, anti-codon, and T loops). The record is from RNAcentral. RNAcentral also lists the same sequence under 2 other names.